RNAcentral lists this ribosomal RNA (2923 nucleotides) under Staphylococcus capitis. Its description in RNAcentral is "bacterial LSU rRNA". It matches the Rfam family "Bacterial large subunit ribosomal RNA". The record is from RNAcentral. Lineage: Bacteria; Bacillati; Bacillota; Bacilli; Caryophanales; Staphylococcaceae.
AGAUUAAGUUAUUAAGGGCGCACGGUGGAUGCCUUGGCACUAGAAGCCGAAGAAGGACGUUACUAACGACGAUAUGCUUUGGGUAGCUGUAAGUAAGCGUUGAUCCAGAGAUUUCCGAAUGGGGGAACCCAACAUGAGUUAUGUCAUGUUAUCGACAUGUGAAUUCAUAGCAUGUCAGAAGGCAGACCCGGAGAACUGAAACAUCUUAGUACCCGGAGGAAGAGAAAGAAAAAUCGAUUCCCUGAGUAGCGGCGAGCGAAACGGGAAGAGCCCAAACCAACAAGCUUGCUUGUUGGGGUUGUAGGACACUCUAUACGGAGUUACAAAAGAACAUGUUAGACGAAUCAUCUGGAAAGAUGAAUCAAAGAAGGUAAUAAUCCUGUAGUCGAAAACAUAUUCUCUCUUGAGUGGAUCCUGAGUACGACGGAGCACGUGAAAUUCCGUCGGAAUCUAGGAGGACCAUCUCCUAAGGCUAAAUACUCUCUAGUGACCGAUAGUGAACCAGUACCGUGAGGGAAAGGUGAAAAGUACCCCGGAAGGGGAGUGAAAGAGAACUUGAAACCGUGUGCUUACAAGUAGUCAGAGCCCGUUUAUGGGUGAUGGCGUGCCUUUUGUAGAAUGAACCGGCGAGUUACGAUCUGAUGCAAGGUUAAGCAGUGAAUGUGGAGCCGUAGCGAAAGCGAGUCUGAAUAGGGCGUUGAGUAUUUGGUCGUAGACCCGAAACCAGGUGAUCUACCCUUGGUCAGGUUGAAGUUCAGGUAACACUGAAUGGAGGACCGAACCGACUUACGUUGAAAAGUGAGCGGAUGAACUGAGGGUAGCGGAGAAAUUCCAAUCGAACUUGGAGAUAGCUGGUUCUCUCCGAAAUAGCUUUAGGGCUAGCCUCAAGUGAUGAUUAUUGGAGGUAGAGCACUGUUUGGACGAGGGCCCCUCUCGGGUUACCGAAUUCAGACAAACUCCGAAUGCCAAUCAAUUUAACUUGGGAGUCAGAACAUGGGUGAUAAGGUCCGUGUUCGAAAGGGAAACAGCCCAGACCACCAGCUAAGGUCCCAAAAUAUAUGUUAAGUGGAAAAGGAUGUGGCGUUGCCCAGACAACUAGGAUGUUGGCUUAGAAGCAGCCAUCAUUUAAAGAGUGCGUAAUAGCUCACUAGUCGAGUGACACUGCGCCGAAAAUGUACCGGGGCUAAACAUAUUACCGAAGCUGUGGAUUGUCCUUCGGACAAUGGUAGGAGAGCGUUCUAAGGGCGUUGAAGCAUGAUCGCAAGGACAUGUGGAGCGCUUAGAAGUGAGAAUGCCGGUGUGAGUAGCGAAAGACGGGUGAGAAUCCCGUCCACCGAUUGACUAAGGUUUCCAGAGGAAGGCUCGUCCGCUCUGGGUUAGUCGGGUCCUAAGCUGAGGCCGACAGGCGUAGGCGAUGGAUAACAGGUUGAUAUUCCUGUACCACCUAGUAUCGUUUUAAUCGAUGGGGGGACGCAGUAGGAUAGGCGAAGCGUGCUGUUGGAGUGCACGUCCAAGCAGUAAGGCUGAGUGUUAGGCAAAUCCGGCACUCGUUAGGCUGAGCUGUGAUGGGGAGAGGAAAUUGUUUCCUCGAGUCGUUGAUUUCACACUGCCGAGAAAAGCCUCUAGAUAGAUAACAGGUGCCCGUACCGCAAACCGACACAGGUAGUCAAGAUGAGAAUUCUAAGGUGAGCGAGCGAACUCUCGUUAAGGAACUCGGCAAAAUGACCCCGUAACUUCGGGAGAAGGGGUGCUCUUUAGGGUUCACGCCCAGAAGAGCCGCAGUGAAUAGGCCCAAGCGACUGUUUAUCAAAAACACAGGUCUCUGCUAAACCGUAAGGUGAUGUAUAGGGGCUGACGCCUGCCCGGUGCUGGAAGGUUAAGAGGAGUGGUUAGCUUCUGCGAAGCCACGAAUCGAAGCCCCAGUAAACGGCGGCCGUAACUAUAACGGUCCUAAGGUAGCGAAAUUCCUUGUCGGGUAAGUUCCGACCCGCACGAAAGGCGUAACGAUUUGGGCACUGUCUCAACGAGAGACUCGGUGAAAUCAUAGUACCUGUGAAGAUGCAGGUUACCCGCGACAGGACGGAAAGACCCCGUGGAGCUUUACUGUAGCCUGAUAUUGAAAUUCGGCACAGCUUGUACAGGAUAGGUAGGAGCCAUUGAAACGUGAGCGCUAGCUUACGUGGAGGCGUUGGUGGGAUACUACCCUAGCUGUGUUGGCUUUCUAACCCGCACCACUUAUCGUGGUGGGAGACAGUGUCAGGCGGGCAGUUUGACUGGGGCGGUCGCCUCCUAAAAGGUAACGGAGGCGCUCAAAGGUUCCCUCAGAAUGGUUGGAAAUCAUUCACAGAGUGUAAAGGCAUAAGGGAGCUUGACUGCGAGACCUACAAGUCGAGCAGGGUCGAAAGACGGACUUAGUGAUCCGGUGGUUCCGCAUGGAAGGGCCAUCGCUCAACGGAUAAAAGCUACCCCGGGGAUAACAGGCUUAUCUCCCCCAAGAGUUCACAUCGACGGGGAGGUUUGGCACCUCGAUGUCGGCUCAUCGCAUCCUGGGGCUGUAGUCGGUCCCAAGGGUUGGGCUGUUCGCCCAUUAAAGCGGUACGCGAGCUGGGUUCAGAACGUCGUGAGACAGUUCGGUCCCUAUCCGUCGUGGGCGUAGGAAAUUUGAGAGGAGCUGUCCUUAGUACGAGAGGACCGGGAUGGACAUACCUCUGGUGUACCAGUUGUCGUGCCAACGGCAUAGCUGGGUAGCUAUGUAUGGACGGGAUAAGUGCUGAAAGCAUCUAAGCAUGAAGCCCCCCUCAAGAUGAGAUUUCCCAACUUCGGUUAUAAGAUCCCUCGAAGAUGACGAGGUUAAUAGGUUCGAGGUGGAAGCGUGGUGACACGUGGAGCUGACGAAUACUAAUCGAUCGAAGACUUAAUCAAU